CGUAGGUGGUAGUGCAAGUCUGGGGUGGAAUCCUAUGGCUUAACCAUAGAAUUGCCCUGGAAACUGUAUUACUUGAGUCAGUGAGGGGAGGGUAGAAUUCCUGGUGUAGCGGUGAAAUGCGUAGAUAUCAGGAGGAAGGCCUGUGGCGAAGGCGGCCCUCUGGCGCUGAACUGACACUGAGGCGCGAAAGCGUGGGGAGCAAACAGGAUUAGAUACCCUGGUAGUCCACGCCCUAAACAGUGGGCACUAGGUGUAGGGCUCGUAAGGGUUCUGUGCCGAAGCGAAAGCAUUAAGUGCCCCGCCUGGGGAGUACGGCCGCAAGGUUGAA
Molecule: ribosomal RNA, 328 nt
Filed under: uncultured bacterium
Lineage: Bacteria
Description: bacterial SSU rRNA
Rfam family: Bacterial small subunit ribosomal RNA
Source: RNAcentral